Long non-coding RNA from Mauremys reevesii (Reeves's turtle), 214 nucleotides. RefSeq lists it as uncharacterized. The transcript has 3 exons. The record is from RefSeq and is a predicted model, not a curated record. NCBI's taxonomy places the organism in Eukaryota, Metazoa, Chordata, Testudines, Geoemydidae.
CUGGAAAACCUGUCUUACCAUGAGAGAUAGAAGUAAAUCAGGAUUAAUUCCAAUGAAAUUACACUAGUAAAGAGUCCCCAGAGGAAUAAGAUGACAUAUGGAAAGUGUUCUUUUAAGGUAAUCGUAUAAAGAAAACUAAACAGACAGAAAUACAUUAGUUGUUGACUGCAAGGUCAAAAGUCCCCAGACAUGUUAUGGUGAAAGCCAGCAUGAG